GUUGNCGGAUUUUGGGCGUAAAGCGCGCGCAGNGGUUUCUUAGUCUGAUGUGAAAGCCCACGGCUCAACCGUGGAGGGUCAUUGGAAACUGGGAAACUUGAGUGCAGAAGAGGAAAGUGGAAUUCCANGUGUAGCGGUGAAAUGCGUAGAGAUGUGGAGGAACACCAGUGGCGAAGGCGACUUUCUGGUCUGUAACUGACNCUGAGGCGCGAAAGCGUGGGGAGCAAACAGGAUUAGAUACCCUGGUAGUCCACGCCGUAAACGAUGAGUGCUAAGUGUUAGAGGGUUUCCGCCCUUUAGUGCUGNAGNUAACGCAUUAAGCACUCCGCCUGGGGAGUACGGNCGCAAGGACUGAAACUC
This 360-nucleotide ribosomal RNA is filed under the name uncultured bacterium. RNAcentral's name for it is "bacterial SSU rRNA". It matches the Rfam family "Bacterial small subunit ribosomal RNA", at positions 541 to 902 of the family's 1533-position model. The record is from RNAcentral.